UACGGCCACAUCACGUUGAAACAUUAAUUUCCGUACGAUCACCAAAGUUGAGCAACGUCGAGCCUGGUCAGUACCUAGAUGGGCGACCGCUUGAGAAUACCAGGUACUGUAA
Acanthosepion pharaonis is the source of this 112-nucleotide non-coding RNA. Lineage: Eukaryota; Metazoa; Mollusca; Cephalopoda; Sepiida; Sepiidae. The record is from the annotation of a GenBank genome assembly.